UACAGAGGGUGCAAGCGUUAUCCGGAUUUAUUGGGCGUAAAGCGUUUCGUAGGCUUUUUGGUAAGUUACUUUUCAAAGACCACGGCUCAACCGGGGGAAGGGGAGUAAUACUGCCAGGAUUGAAAGGUGAUGGGGCUUCUGGAACUGAUGGUGUAGUAGUGAAAUACGUUGAUAUCAUCAGGAACUCCAAGGGCGAAGGCAGGAAGCUAAUCAUUUUUUGACGCUGAGGAACGACAGCUAGGGGA
Molecule: ribosomal RNA, 245 nt
Filed under: uncultured bacterium
Lineage: Bacteria
Description: partial 16S ribosomal RNA
Rfam family: Bacterial small subunit ribosomal RNA
Source: RNAcentral